AUGCACAAAAGGUGGCUGGGCUGGCCAGCACUUAGAAACCCGUGGACGACGCUGGACACGGGCAGGCCCUGCUGUAACAGAACCCUAAGUAAAAAGCCCUUUGCAAUGUAGCAUCAUGUUAACGGGAUGCAAAACACAGGACAGGCUGAGAUGGGAAGGAGGGAGACUGAUAGGGCUGAGUUGGAAUCUGGUCUCUGCUUCUUAACUCUGAGAUGGAGGACAAGAGAUUUAACCUCUCAGAGCCUCAUUUUUCUCACCUACAAAAGAAGGGGGUAAGAAGACCUACUUUGCAAAGCAUAAGAGACAGCUGUGUGGUACAGAGAUACACAGCAGAGGGCGAAAUAACGGCAGACGAGAAAAAGAAGAAAAGGAAGGAAAUGCGGGAGAAAAUGGACCAAGAAGAAGAAACAAACAUCAGCUACUGUUGACUAUGUGCUGAUUACCUACCAGGCACGGAGCUAAGCCCUUGGUUUGGCAUCGCUAUUCAUUCCUCAAAACUAUCUCAAAAAGUAGGUCGGGGUCAACCAAACACCCUACCACCUGUCUUUGUCAAUAAAGUUAUUCUAGAACACA
This is a non-coding RNA of Macaca mulatta (Rhesus monkey), 573 nucleotides long. The record is from RefSeq and is a predicted model, not a curated record. Lineage: Eukaryota; Metazoa; Chordata; Mammalia; Primates; Cercopithecidae.